RNAcentral lists this ribosomal RNA (292 nucleotides) under uncultured bacterium. Its description in RNAcentral is "partial 16S ribosomal RNA". It matches the Rfam family "Bacterial small subunit ribosomal RNA", at positions 505 to 796 of the family's 1533-position model. The record is from RNAcentral.
GUGUCAGCCGCCGCGGUAAUACGGAGGGUGCAAGCGUUAUCCGGAUUCACUGGGUUUAAAGGGUGCGUAGGUGGGCAGGUAAGUCAGUGGUGAAAUCUCCGGGCUUAACCCGGAAACUGCCAUUGAUACUAUCUGUCUUGAAUACCCUGGAGGUGAGCGGAAUAUGUCAUGUAGCGGUGAAAUGCUUAGAUAUGACAUAGAACACCCAUUGCGAAGGCAGCUCACUACGGGAAUAUUGACACUGAGGCACGAAAGCGUGGGGAUCAAACAGGAUUAGAAACCCCCGUAGUCC